This 301-nucleotide ribosomal RNA is filed under the name uncultured bacterium. RNAcentral's name for it is "partial 16S ribosomal RNA". It matches the Rfam family "Archaeal small subunit ribosomal RNA", at positions 459 to 760 of the family's 1478-position model. The record is from RNAcentral.
CAGCCGCCACGGGAACACCAGCACCUCGAGUGGUCAGGAGGUUUAUUGGGCCUAAAGCAUCCGUAGCCGGUUGUUUAAGUUUUCGGUUAAAUCUAUGCGCUUAACGUAUAGGCUGCCGAAAAUACUGGACAGCUAGGGAGUGGGAGAGGUACACGGUACUCAAUAGGAAGGGGUAAAAUCCUUUGAUCUGUUGAUGACCACCUGUGGCGAAGGCGGUGUACCAGAACACGUUCGACGGUGAGGGAUGAAAGCUGGGGGAGCAAACCGGAUUAGAUACCCCCGUAGUCCCUGUCUCUUAUAC